Molecule: ribosomal RNA, 253 nt
Filed under: uncultured bacterium
Lineage: Bacteria
Description: partial 16S ribosomal RNA
Rfam family: Bacterial small subunit ribosomal RNA
Source: RNAcentral
UACAGAGGUCUCAAGCGUUGUUCGGAUUCAUUGGGCGUAAAGGGUGCGUAGGUGGGCAGGUAAGUCAGUGGUGAAAUCUCCGGGCUUAACUCGGAAACUGCCAUUGAUACUAUCUGUCUUGAAUACCGUGGAGGUCAGCGGAAUAUGUCAUGUAGCGGUGAAAUGCUUAGAUAUGACAUAGAACACCAAUUGCGAAGGCAGCUGGCUACACGAAUAUUGACACUGAUGCACGAAAGCGUGGGGAUCAAACAGG